CCGCGCCUCGCCGCUACGCGCGCACUGCGCAUGCGCGCGGCCAGCAGGGAACGUCACCGGAUCGCUCGUUAAAGGGACCCGGGAUGGCGUCACAGGUGGCGGGGACAACCUUCAAACACGGCCAACGCCGACGUCACGCGACGGACUCAGCAGCCCAUCUGGCUGCCUUUGAGACCUUCCGCCACUUGUGGGCAACGCUCAAUCGCUCCGCAUGUGGAGUGGCGGUCAGAUGUUCCGCAAAGUGACUGGCAAGUGGAUCCUCCGUGACCCCCUCGCUGUCGUCACCGCUCCCACCGCCGAGGAGUAACUCGCCAAGACGGCCGAGCUCCUGCGGAGCAGCGACGCUGUCAGAACGCGUCACGCUUACAUCUCCACUCUCCUCGCCCGAGACUCCCUCCUCCCCUGCGUCUCCACCCCCCCUCCCCUCCCCACAUCCCUGCGGCCCCCAGCACCCACGCCGAGGCAGGGCAUCGUCGGCAUUGGUGGCCAACCCGCUGCUGGAUGAAGGCCCUACCCAAGCCACCGCUGCCGCCGCCGCUACUGCCGCCGCUUCUCGCGAUCCUGCAGCAGAAGUCCGUGCGUGUUGUACGAUACGAGGCGACGCGGUGAAAAUAAUCGAGGAGGCGUCCCGUGAUCGAUGUCCUCCCCCAGCCGACGCCAUGGCUGGUGGAGCCAGAGCUGCUGGCGACUGGCUGGAAGGUCGUAGUUCACGGGGUGCCCCGAUCCAGUUCUCCACGUGCUCGACGGUGAACUUCUUCCGCACCGCACGUAGCCAACCGUGCUCAUCGGAGAUGCAGUAGAGCUGCUCAGGCCUACAAGGCACUGACGCUUCUCCGCCUCGACAAUGCGGUUCACCACAGGAGGGGGGGACCGUGUAACCAUCCGGAAGGGAGAUCUGGGGGGCCAGGAGUCGGGAAUGUUAUUCUCUGAUCAGAGACGCGAAGCGAGCGGAGCAGCCGGAGCGUGGUGAUCCAGAGCGGAAUGUGGGCAGGAGAUGGCAGCGCGGCAAGUGGGUUCGUGUAGCCCCGUCUGUGCGGACCUUUGAGUCUCAUCCCCUCGUGUGUGCCUGGUGGGUUUUCUCCGGGAUGCUCCGGCUCCGUCCCACAUGGAGUCGAACAGUCGAUGAAGACGGCAUGCCCGGUGACGGGACUGCCGUGGCAGUGAUGUGCAUUUAAAGAACAACAAAAAAACACCGCGUGAUUCAUUAACACUCCCGUAAAGUAGCCGAACAGUCGAUGUUUCGGGAGACAGCCCUUCUUCAGAGUAAAGAGAGAGAUGAUUUAACUGUACAUCCCAAUGUUGCAGGGGAGCCUGCUGUUAAGAUAAAUUAAAUUACUCGGUGCGGCUUUCCUCCAUAAACGAAUGACACUCAUUUUCAUUGUGCCCGUGUCUCGCGCGGCACCGUAGGGGCAUUGCUUGGUAUUCAGUGUGUGCCAAUGCAAUCCGGUUGAUAUGUCAAUUCAAAGCCAUGUAUCUGCCACCAAUAUUAAACGCCCCAGUUCUCUCAUCGGGUUCGCACCGUGUGCAGAACGCUAUCCCGGGCUACGAGUCACUCAAAUUCUCCGGCCUCUUUCUCUCUCGUCGAAAGAAAGGCAAUUUCCCGAAACGUCAGUCUUAUAGAUUCCAAAUGUGCACAUAUUGUAAGACCACGUGAAUAACAACUGUGUAAACGUCGUUGCAUUAUUUGUACGCGACGUAUGUUAGGAACAUAUUCAUUAAUUGAUUAAUAGAUUACAAUAUAUAUUUAUGCACACAAACGUCGCAAAUUAGACGCUCAUGCAUAUUGUAGCUGGGCAGUUGUGGCUCUGCUGCACGUGGCUGCCUGUGACCCAGUACUGUGGAGGCAACAGCGAGGGUUGGUGGCUCGCACACAGAUGCUGUGAAACUCCCUUCCCGUGGGCGUUGAAGAGGAGCCAAUGUGGACUCCACCUGCGCCAUGGUGUAUGAUGGGAUAGCGUGUUUCCCCCUCGCACGCGUGGGGAUUCCUCCAGCUGCUCCGGUUUCCUCCCACAUGCAAACACCGGCCGAUGAACACCUUAAAAAAAAGAGACGACCGCAGAGCUCAUUGCGUGACUGCUGCUGCUGCCGCCUUCCACUCGUCCGUGGUUCCUCCGCGCGUCUCUGAGUCGUCCUCUCGUCAGCGGCGCGAGUGAGCAGCGGGCGGUGGAGGCGCGUUGCAAGUGGACGUCAUUAUUGGGCCAAAGAGAGGAAUGAAGACUAAUUGAAGAACGCAAACCAAACCGGACAGAAACACUACAAACGCGACAAGACCAAUAACAGAUUAAUAAAUACAUCACGACCACGGACCGGUGACAAAGGCAUCGCAUGGCCGGGUGGGGCGCAUCGCUUGGCGGUCGGCAGUGCUCCCUUGCGUCGUACGGGGGCCCCACGGAUUAAAUGGAGUGCUCUCGCAAUAACAUUCUUGAUAAUGAAGCAUCAUUUGCUGAAAACGCCUCGACUGUCGACAGCGACCUACCCCCACGGGGUCAAAACCGGUCCAGAGUUUUAUCCAAAACAUGAUUGAAAAAAAAACAUGUUGGUCUGGAAAGCCGAGAGAGCUGGUGGAUUAAAAACACAUUUGUGUUUAUCAUGUGUGUGUGGCGACGCAAGCAACGGAGUUGUAGCUUAUAUAUUAAUAUAUAUGUACUGUACACACACCGGUCGAUAUGCGGAGGAGAUAAAGAGCGAGAGAGGCACGAUGGGUUUUGUGUUGUUGUGUGAAAACAAACCCAGGGAUUUUGUAAACUCCACGAGGCCCCCGCCCUCCCAGUGCGGCGGAGAUUAUAUUCGCGUGAAGUGCAUCCAUGCGCGCUACCCCCGAACUCCCCACGCCCCCCCCCGCGAACCCGAUCGAUUAUUCCCCAUCGCGACGCGUAAUGAGAUGCCGUGACCGUCUCAGGUGACUUUGUUUUGAAGGCGGCUCGGCAGCGAGCGGCACCCCCAAUAAACAAGCCGUCGCUCGUUGCUGGAUGAGGGCCCUUCUUCCGCGACGCACUCGUGAUACCGGAGAUUUUUUGACGCGCACUGUUAGUUUUUACUUGAAUGCGUCGCAUGCUAUUCGUGAGCGGCAGGUUUCAUUUUAAGGCGCUGUUUGUGGAGUCAGUGACCUAUGGUGACCUAUAACCCGGGAAGGGCAGUCUCUAAACAGUGCAACGGUGGAUCCUCAUUGUGUUCACGGGAGGUUCCUGGUGGCUGCGAAUCAUACACACAGCGCCGUUUAAAAAAAAUAAAUCUGACUUGACCAUGCUGG
Long non-coding RNA from Petromyzon marinus (sea lamprey), 3250 nucleotides. RefSeq lists it as uncharacterized. The record is from RefSeq and is a predicted model, not a curated record. NCBI's taxonomy places the organism in Eukaryota, Metazoa, Chordata, Hyperoartia, Petromyzontiformes, Petromyzontidae.